Molecule: ribosomal RNA, 403 nt
Filed under: Blastocystis hominis
Lineage: Eukaryota; Bigyra; Opalinata; Blastocystidae
Description: SSU rRNA
Rfam family: Eukaryotic small subunit ribosomal RNA
Source: RNAcentral
UCUUAUCGAUAAGCCAUUGGAGGGCAAGUCUGGUGCCAGCAGCCGCGGUAAUUCCAGCUCCAAUAGCGUAUAUUAACGUUGUUGCAGUUAAAAAGCUCGUAGUUGAAGUGUGGGUGAUCGCUGUUGUGAGACUUCGGUCUCUCGACAGUAAGUCACCCCCUUCCAGUAUCCAGUAGUGGGUAUUCAGUUACUUACUAUUGUGUGUUGGUCAUUUACUGUGAGAAAAUUAGAGUGUUCAAAGCAGGCGUUUGCUUGAAUAGAUUAGCAUGGAAUAAUAAUUGAAGGCUUUCGUGUUCGAUUUGAUUGGUUUGUUCAUGGAAGCAAGGUUAAAAGGAACAGUUGGGGGUAUUCAUAUUCACUAGUUAGAGGUGAAAUUCUCGGAUUUAUGGAAGAUGAACAAGUG